This 386-nucleotide ribosomal RNA is filed under the name uncultured bacterium. RNAcentral describes it as "bacterial SSU rRNA". It matches the Rfam family "Bacterial small subunit ribosomal RNA", at positions 30 to 417 of the family's 1533-position model. The record is from RNAcentral.
AUUGAACGCUGGCGGCAUGCCUUACACAUGCAAGUCGAACGGCAGCGCGGGGCAACCUGGCGGCGAGUGGCGAACGGGUGAGUAAUAUAUCGGAACAUACCCUAGAGUGGGGGAUAACGUAGCGAAAGUUACGUUAAUACCGCAUACGCACUAAGGUGGAAAGUGGGGGAUCUUCGGACCUCAUGCUCAUGGAGUGGCCGAUAUCUGAUUAGCUAGUUGGUGAGGUAAAGGCUCACCAAGGCGACGAUCAGUAGCUGGUUUGAGAGAACGACCAGCCACACUGGAACUGAGACACGGUCCAGACUCCUACGGGAGGCAGCAGUGGGGAAUUUUGGACAAUGGGGGGCAACCCUGAUCCAGCAAUGCCGCGUGAGUGAAGAAGGCCU